Carassius auratus (goldfish) is the source of this 875-nucleotide long non-coding RNA. RefSeq lists it as uncharacterized. The transcript has 4 exons. The record is from RefSeq and is a predicted model, not a curated record. NCBI's taxonomy places the organism in Eukaryota, Metazoa, Chordata, Actinopteri, Cypriniformes, Cyprinidae.
AACAGAGAAGAGUCUUCAAGAAGGCAGAAGAUAGAGAGAGGUCAUGAAUUGUGGCUGUGGGUGGAGGAACAGGUCGUGAAGGUGUGGUGUUGCUGAGGGCCCCGUGGACGGAUUGGAGAAAGCAUGGCAGCGACUGUCAAGGGCAGUGUCUGGGAAGAUCGGUAAUGGAUAUUACAGAGGGGAUUGGCUUCUUGGAUUCCUGUAAAGAUGUUCAUCUGUCCAACUGCCUGUCACUGGGCUCCAGCCAAUCAGUUCGCAAGUCCGGAAAUAAUAAAUGUUGAUCCGUCAUCAGUGGUGACCAAACGCAUGUAUGCGAAACCUCAUGCCAGCCGUCGAUGUGACAUACUGUAAACAAAGGACUGGAUCUGAGAUGUUCCUUAACUCACAGACACAGAACACAGGUUACAUCACAUCUGCCUUAAUCCAGAACAAAUAAAGCAAUGCAUUGUAUUUUUUAAUCAUGACAUGCUUUUUUCGUGAAAGCAGUAAAAUAAUUUUAAUGCAAUGCUCAAUUAUAUCACUUAGAUAAAUCAUUGGGAGAUAUGGCAAGUUAAUCAGUUCAAGAACCCUGGUUAUGCGACUGCAAUGUGAGGCAUGUGAAGAAUUGCACCUUCGUCUGGCAUGUGAAGAAAUGUUAAUGAGCAACUAAAUUAGCAUUUCCUGAAAUAAAUACCAGUGCUUGUAAGAGAAUAGUGUUUCAGUUUUAGGUUUGAAUUACCGGUAGGUUUAGGUUUUUUCAGAGCCACUUUAAUCUCGAUAUUCAUAUAAAAACUUAGCAGAUGUCACGUAAUGUGAUGUUGCCAUGUCAAAGCAGCUAUAGUGAAAAUAAAUUAAAUCAGUCAGCCAAGUUAAAAACAUUACAACCCCUUGAAAAG